RNAcentral lists this ribosomal RNA (435 nucleotides) under uncultured bacterium. Its description in RNAcentral is "bacterial SSU rRNA". It matches the Rfam family "Bacterial small subunit ribosomal RNA", at positions 355 to 786 of the family's 1533-position model. The record is from RNAcentral.
UGAGGAAUAUUGGUCAAUGGGCGGAAGCCUGAACCAGCCAAGUCGCGUGAGGGAAGACGGUCCUAUGGAUUGUAAACCUCUUUUGCAGGGGAGCAAGACCUGUACGUGUAACAGGUUGGAGAGUACCCUGAGAAAAACGCAUCGGCUAACUCCGUGCCAGCAGCCGCGGUAAUACGGAGGAUGCGAGCGUUAUCCGGAUUUAUUGGGUUUAAAGGGUGCGUAGGCGGGCUGGUAAGUCAGCGGUAAAAAUGCGGUGCUCAACGCCGUAAGUGCCGUUGAAACUGCCGGUCUUGAGUGAGCGAGAAGUAUGCGGAAUGCGUGGUGUAGCGGUGAAAUGCAUAGAUAUCACGCAGAACUCCGAUUGCGAAGGCAGCAUACCGGCGCUCAACUGACGCUGAGGCACGAAAGCGUGGGGAUCGAACAGGAUUAGAUACC